Molecule: non-coding RNA, 144 nt
Organism: Sordaria brevicollis
Lineage: Eukaryota; Fungi; Ascomycota; Sordariomycetes; Sordariales; Sordariaceae
Source: the annotation of a GenBank genome assembly
GGCGCUAUAGUUUAAUAAUUAAAGCGUUAAAGUCCUAUAUUAAAUAACCGUAUAAUAUUUUUAAAUUAUAUUUAAUAGUAUACUCCUUAGAUUAUCUUUAAUAAUUAUUUUUAAAGGUCGCGGGUUUAAAUCCCGUCGGCGCUA